GAUUAUUUUUCAAGCUUUUCUCGCGAAUAUCACAAUUCGUCGUGUUAAGUUACCGGGAAUUUUUUUCCGCGCAAUUUACAAAAGUUUAUAAUUUUCGUUCAUGCUCAAUGUUCAUCAAGUGAAAUGUUUAAAUUUACUUCGAUUUUUUUCUCGUUCUUAUCAAGUUUACUAUUGAUACUCUAAAUGAAUACAUCAGUUUCGCUUGUAAAUCGAAAAUGAUGCGCGGUGAUAAUAAAGCGCCGCGCGAACAAAAUGGCGCUGACGCGCUCUUGUCUCUUCGCCAACUCGUGACGAUAGAUUGAACGUUUUCAAGUAAUCUGUUUGCAUCGUUUACAUUUUACUAAUUACGUGCUACUUAAUAAUGUUUUUGGAUCCGAAAUUUUAUCACGUUGCGCCGUAAAUGUAUAUUUUUUUUGAGAAAGCUUUAAAUAUGUCGAUUUAGGCUACUUGAUAUUUUACUGUAAGAGUAUAAAACAAGUGGAGACGCCGGCCGCUGCCCCAGAGCAGACGCGCCUAUCGAAAACGACGCCGAGAUAAAGCGAAAUGCGCAAAAGCCUUUUCGCUCUAAUCUAUCCGAAAUUUUGCGAUUCAAUGGAGAAAUCAUGCAUUAAAUAAUUAUUCAAUUGACAAUUUCAAUUUUUUUUUUCCGAAAUAAAUGGAAAAAUCGAUGAUUCGUGUAAUCUCGUCACUAUCGAUGUUCCUUUCGUAUUCGGGAUUGAUCUAGUCAAGGAGAAAAACUAAAGAAAAUAAUUACAACGAAAUUUAUAGUUCGUAAGUCAAAUUAACUUUAUUUUUAUCGCUGCACAAAGCGUGUGACGUUGCUCUUUCCUCCUUCCCCUAUUUUUUUUCUUUUUUUUUCUUUCACUUUUGAAACCUUUUCAGCGUUACAAUAGGUAUCUCGAGCAGGAUGAAUAACCAGCUGAUUCAAUAACACGAUGCCCGCAGUAAAACUUGAAAUAUUUGACUUUUGUAAAUAUCUUAUAAAUUUAUAUAUAUAUUUAUAUACACGCAUAUAUAAACCAAUAUUUACUUUUUACUCCGUCUAUAGCAGAACUUUUGUCUUAGCUCUUGAAGUGAUUUUUUGGGCACUUAUCUCGUUUCGUCCGCAAGACAGAGCCUUGGACUUUUUUCGCAUAGUAAUAGUUAACAAAAUCAAAAGCAAUCCCUUAAUCGUAUCGGGAUGUUUCGCGCCUAUAUGGGUUUGCUCCCGCUCGCCCAUAGCGAUGCCAAACCCGAAGACAUUAGGAAAUCAUCGUUCGUCAUGAGAAUACACUUAAAUUCACCGGGUGUCAAUGGUCGGCGUGCUCUACUGGUUUCAUAAAUAUAAUAUAUUUUAAGGAUGUGUACAAUGAUAAAGUGUGUACGAGCACACUAUCACAAAGCAAAGUUAAAAUUAUUUGCAUGAAUAAUUCUAACGAAUUUAAAUUUUAAGCCGUUAACUUGUUAAACGUUAUAACUUGUUAGAUUUUAAAUGUUGUCAAAGUUAAUAUUUUUUUUCAUAAGUUUCUAUUUGAGAUAAAUUAAUGAAAAUAAUUCAUUUAUUGUUGACGUGCAAUGAGAGAUAAAGAGAGAGGGCAAUGGAGAGACAAAUAUUGUUUCGUCUACUGUGUAAAUUCCUGAUUUUCCAAUUCCCCAACCUAGUUGAUUUAAUUGUGUAUGUAGAGACAAAGAACUAAGCAACUCAUUGUUGCAUCGUUGGAGGAAAUUGUAUUUAUAUAUUGAAUUGUAAUUUUUUCCUUAUUUUUUUCAUUUGUAACAAUUGUUGUGCAUACUGAGUGAUAAUUGUAAUAAACUUACUUUUUUUUUUAGAGCGUUUGUAACAGAAAAAGAAAAAGAAUGAAUUUGUAGCUCAAAGAGAGAAGAAAGUAGAGAACAAAAAAGCGUGUUUUUUCUCGAGAUUGCAUUAAUUGGCCAGCCUCUGAGAUUCUACUACUGUUAACAAACGUUGAUUGCCAGGCCUGGUUCAUAGUGCGUUUGGUUGGUCAAUUCGGUUUUGCGGUAAACGAUUCGGUGUGUGUGCUCUUUUCGCCUGGAGGAGUUUAUUGACUGAAAAUAAAAAAAAAAAAUAAUAAAAAAAAAUCUUUGAAAAAAUCCAAAUACUCAGAAAGCAGAUGCCUCUUACGAAAAGCAACAUGAAAAAAAAUAAAAAAAAAACUAAAAUAAAUGAAUUUUGCUACAUAUUUCUGAAUUGUUUAGAGC
Long non-coding RNA from Venturia canescens, 2199 nucleotides. RefSeq lists it as uncharacterized. The record is from RefSeq and is a predicted model, not a curated record. NCBI's taxonomy places the organism in Eukaryota, Metazoa, Arthropoda, Insecta, Hymenoptera, Ichneumonidae. The transcript has 2 exons.